Molecule: long non-coding RNA, 552 nt
Organism: Branchiostoma floridae (Florida lancelet)
Lineage: Eukaryota; Metazoa; Chordata; Leptocardii; Amphioxiformes; Branchiostomatidae
Exons: 2
Source: RefSeq, a predicted model, not a curated record
GUCCCUGUUCUUGUAGUUGGAGUACGUCUCCUUUCUUGCCUGUAGUGUUGUAGCCAUCUCGAUCUGGAGUUCAGUGCAAUCGAUGACAGAGAUGAGGUGUGGGUAACGUCUGUAGCACUCAGGAAUUCUGAAAGUGACAAUUGAACAAAUGUGUUAAGCACAAGACAAUACUUAAAAUAUGUAUACUAAGAGACUCAGGACAUUCUAGAAACUUUGUUGCAGUGCCUUACGCACAAGGUAAUACUUCUGUAUUAAAGACUCAGGACAUUCUAGAAACUUUGUUGCAGUGCCUUAAGCACAAGGUAAUACUUCUGUAUUAAAGACUCAGGACAUUCUAGAAACUUUGUUGCAGUGCCCGAAGCACAAGAGACUGCUUUUGUAUUAAAGAUUCAGUACAUACAUGUUUGAAACUUCAUUACAGUGUCUUAAGAACAAGAGAUUAGUUUUGCAUUAAAGGACUUGUUGUAUUUUGAUCAUGUAUCAACCUUUCAGAUACAUAUGUAUGUGUACUCAGUCAGAAUAAAGUAACAUGGCAGCCACUGCAUUCUUUAA